Aplysia californica (California sea hare) is the source of this 309-nucleotide long non-coding RNA. RefSeq lists it as uncharacterized. The transcript has 2 exons. NCBI's taxonomy places the organism in Eukaryota, Metazoa, Mollusca, Gastropoda, Aplysiida, Aplysiidae. The record is from RefSeq and is a predicted model, not a curated record.
GUGUGUGUGUGUGUGUGUGUGUGUGUGUGUGUGUGUGUUUAUGUGUUUGUGUGUGUGGGGAGGGGGGGAGUUGGAGGUUUGGAGGGCGGCAUCUAGCAACCACAGAGCUCACGAUCAGCUUACUGUCCUCUGCACAUAUUCACGCUUAACGAACUAUGACAGGUUGGCGGACAGAUACCGGAGUGUCCUCUCCUUUCUCUCAGUCCGGUCCCCACUAUGUAAGGGAAUGAGGGAAGAGGGGGAGAGAGAGAGAGAAAGAGAGAGAGAUAGAUAGAGAGAGAGAUAUACAUAGAGAGGGAGAGAGAGAGA